This is a non-coding RNA of Cricetulus griseus (Chinese hamster), 1818 nucleotides long. The record is from RefSeq and is a predicted model, not a curated record. Lineage: Eukaryota; Metazoa; Chordata; Mammalia; Rodentia; Cricetidae.
AACAAGGUCAUAGAAGCACAUGUUCGACCGUUAUGGCUGCUGAAAGGGAAGCUGGUUCCUUCACUUCACUACCAGCAAAAGUCUUCAACAGUCACCUGCCCACUCAUGUCUUUCCUGGGUGCUCAGCAGGGUGCCACUGCAUGUCCUGUUUCCUCAGCACAGUUUCUCUGAUGAGGAUCCCAUGCCCUGCGGCUCAUCCUGGGGAGCAGAGAGAUGUGCUCACUUUCACUGUCUGGAAAGAGGAUGUUUGCGGCAUUUGAUGUUCUCCACCAGCCUUGCUGUAUCACUUACAUGAAUCCACUCGACGUUUGCCAGAUGAACACAGCAUCUACAGACAAGUGCAUGUCAAUCACUGUGAUGGGGGAUCUUGUGAUGCUUUUCCCUGUUUAUCAUCCACGAAGGAAAUGAGAGAAGACAUAGCAUCUAGUACAACAGAUCUAGCAUCAUCACAGGUAACUCUACCUUAUGUCAAGUUGACAAGAAAAAAACAAAACAAAACAAAAAACAAAAAAAAGAAGAAGAAGAAGAAGAAGAAGAAGAAGCACUCUCCUGGCUUGUGGUAUGAGUGUGCACACACAUACACAAAAGUGUGGUCCAGGAGGAUGCGGCCUGCCUGUGCGGUGUCUAAAGGCUACUGCUGGUGUAAGGAUCUCUGCUCAGCAGCAACUGGGCAGAAAGGCCAAGAAAGAAGACAGUCUUUCCUGUGCAUUUAGAUGAGCUGGGUGGUGAGAAGUUGGCAUACUGAUAGUUAUCACAGCACGAUCCUGCAGGCCAUUGCUACUAAGCUUCAUUUUCCCAGAGCCCUUGGAGAUGGGGCAGACAGAUGCUUUCUUCCUUGUCAGCUGCCUUGACACUUUCAUGAAGCAAGAAGUUGAGAUCCACACUUGGCAGGGAACCUUACAGAUCUUCUCACUUCUAGUUACUUCCAAGUGUUUCUGGGGAGGGGUGCAAAUGAGGGGUGGGUUGAUUGUUUUUAUUGGGGUUUCUGUCUGGACCUGCAGCUGGGCUGUUUCUCCAGAGCCCACAAGUUCACAUCCUAUUUCAAGGCUGCAAGGUAAUUUUCAGAGACAAGUAACCUUGUGUACCUUUGUGAUAGUAGGAAGUGGUGGAAAUCAGACUGGGAUUGCCUGCUAAGUGGUGUUGGGAAUGAGAUAGGCAUGCCUUGUCUUGUGUGCUAAACCCUGUCACUCUAUGGGCAUUAAUGAUGUGAUGGGUUUGAACUGGUAGCAUCUGUUUGAUGGGAGGGAAAACCACAUGGUACUUUAUUGGUCACAUGGGGGUGAUCUGAAAGGUGGGAUAGCCAGGUAUGACAUUUCCCACACACUCAGCCAUUGUGUGAGAUCUCCUUCCUGCUGUGAGGAGGCCACUGCUGAGUUUCCAUAGAGCCACUGGGAAACUAACUGACUUAACACAAGUGCUAUUUAUAAACAGUAAAGAAUCUGUACAAUAAAUCUGCAUUUACGAGACCUUAAACUUUAAAAGGGCUUUAUACUUUUACUGUUACUUUAUGCUCAAAUAGACACGUGAGGCCUCCAAGUGGAUGUUACUGUUAGACAGCAAGAAGUUUUUGUGUGAGAGACUAAGCCUGCAGUUGGGCCAUGCAACUCAGGAUCAAUGACUGUAUCAUGCUUCCUUUACCACAUCUCUGAAGGUUAGGGCAUGGGUGAUCAACAUUUCAGGCAGAUAAUGUACAUUUCAGGGUGGUUACCACCAUCCUUGGCCUCUGCACACUAGAUGCCAAGGGCACUCCUCCCUCCAACAGCCUUUGAGACAUCCCCUAAGUGAGUGAGCUUCUUGUCUGGGUAAUGCCAUAUUAAU